This 253-nucleotide ribosomal RNA is filed under the name uncultured bacterium. RNAcentral describes it as "partial 16S ribosomal RNA". It matches the Rfam family "Bacterial small subunit ribosomal RNA", at positions 524 to 776 of the family's 1533-position model. The record is from RNAcentral.
UACAGAGGUCUCAAGCGUUGUUCGGAUUCAUUGGGCGUAAAGGGCGCGUAGGUGGCGGGGUAAGUCAGGUGUGAAAUCUCGAGGCUCAACCUCGAAACUGCACUUGAUACUGCCUUGCUCGAGUACUGGAGAGGAGAUUGGAAUUUACGGUGUAGCAGUGAAAUGCGUAGAUAUCGUAAGGAAGACCAGUGGCGAAGGCGAAUCUCUGGACAGUUACUGACACUGAGGCACGAAGGCCAGGGGAGCAAACAGG